This is a long non-coding RNA of Bufo gargarizans (Asiatic toad), 3090 nucleotides long. RefSeq lists it as uncharacterized. NCBI's taxonomy places the organism in Eukaryota, Metazoa, Chordata, Amphibia, Anura, Bufonidae. The record is from RefSeq and is a predicted model, not a curated record. The transcript has 2 exons.
UUGACCUUGGCUUCUUAACAUUUUAUGCAAUUGGCCCUAAUGUCUAUAUAGGUUUGUUUGUCUGGAUGUGGGAAAUAUGGAAAUGACAUUGUGAGCUCCAUGGGGAGCAGCGACUAAUGUAAAUGAGCGCAGCUCUGAGGAAUAUGUUGGUAUCAUGUAAAUUAUAGGUAAUAAAGAAACGAUGGGCCCACGUGAUAUUACUGAGGCAGACAGAGAGCGGAGUCUUCCCAUUAUUUUAGAGUGAGUGUUGCCUUUGCACAUAGUGUACAUCCUGGCUGGGCCACCUUUUCUGGCAGCUGAUCGAGAAGGCUCAGGGAGGGGUGUGGGUACAUACAGAAGGGAGGGGUGAAGUGUGGGUACUGGGUACAUAAGACAAAUGCUGCAGUAGCAUACCAAGGCAGAAGACGCUGACUGUGACAGAACAGAGACUGUGAGCCUGACAUACCUGAGGAGGCCAGUCACCUUCCAGGCUCCCGACAUCUCAGGCACAACAUGGAUUCUGGAGAGCCUUUGGGCCUUCUGUCUCGCCUCUACAUCUAUGCCAUCCAUGGAUAUGUGUGCGAGAUCCUCUUCACUGCAAUCUUUGACUUUAUUACGUGCACCAGAAGAGACUGGAGGCUUCGUGGUGUGUCCAGUAUUUGGGCACUCUUCAUCUAUGGAGUGGCCAUGCUGGGAGUUGAGUAUAUGUACCUAUCGUUGAGGCUCCAGUAUUGCUUCAUCACCCGUUCUCUUCUCUACAUUCUCUGGAUCUACCUCUGUGAGUUCAGCUCUGGAUGGAUCCUCAGGUACUUUAGUGCUUGUCCGUGGGACUACAGUCACUAUAAAUAUAACUUCAGGGGCCUGGUGACCCUGGAGUAUGUCCCCUUCUGGUUUAUCGGCUGCAUCCUCCUUGAGAAAAUGCUGAUCUGGCACACAUUACGCUUACGUCUUGAAGAAAGCUGGGAACCAGAGCUCCUGAAAAUGGCCUAGGCAUUUCGUCAUGGUCAGAGGAUGAGAAUGUUACACCUGAAAUGUGAAGAACUUAAGGACACGGAAGAGAGAAUGAGGCAGGGUCUAAGGCUAGGGCUACACGACGAGCUGGACGACUGUUGCAGUGCGACACCAUAGACUAUCAUUUCAAUAAAUGUCGAGCCAUAUUGGUGCGACACAUGUCGCAACGUAGUUGUACACUUUUUGUUGCCGUGUAGCCCUAGCCUAAAACUAGGCCUCAAGAAGACUGCAAAAUGACUUAGGUUAGCAUGGUGCGUCCUUCAUCAAUCAACCACGUGGGUUGCACCAAUACAAUAAAUACUUUCAAUCUCUAUCUCAGUGCACUUUAUAGUUAAGACCAGUGAUCUCCAACCUGUGGUCCUCAAACUGUUGAAAACAACCCACCAGCCAUCCAGUCCUGAUAGCUUUGCAACGGCUGGAGGGCCACAAGUUGGAGUAGAUAGCAAUAUGUAGAUACAGUAAAUGGAAUAAUGUGUUAUUUUCUAAUAUGUCUUCUAAUGUUGACCAGGUUUAGAGAAAGGAGGCUGUUUAAGAAACAGCGCCACUCCUCCACAGGUUGUAUGUGGUAUUGCAGGUAAUCCCCAUUCAACUGUAUGAGGUUCCGCUCCAAUGGACAAGACUGGCGCUGCUACUGGAAAUAAGCAGGUCCUAUUUUCUAAAAUUUCUAUAGACUAAUGAAUCAAUGGAUAAAGAUGGACAUUUGCACUAAAUAUAUAUUCAUUUAGUUUGCUAUGCAUUUAAUGAAAGUGUGGACGAACCUCCCCGCUGCCUGUACAGGAAUCAUAGCAGAGGGUGAUCCCAUAGAAGAGCAAGAACGUGCAAGGAAAUCAGAAUUCCCUUAGACCUGUUGGGGUUCCUCCAUAAGCGGUGUAUAGACCAUCACUUAUAGAAGCCAGUACUCUGCUGACAGACUGGAGGAGCACUCGCAGGGUCCGCAGAGGUGUGACAUGAGGAGCCUUGACGAUGCAGUGUACGUCCGCCAUACUUACCACUGCAAGUGGAUCUUGUCUCCAUGAAGCCCCGGCCUUAAAGGGAUUUUUUCAGAUUGGUUAAAAAUUUGCCCAUACGGCAAGAAAUGCUAUAAAAUAACCACUACUCACUGGUUAAACCCCAUAUGUUCCAGCGCUGGUGAUCUGGUGCCUCUGCUGGUCUUGGUUGAAUUUCCUGCAGCGGUAACACGUUGUCCACCCAUGUGACUGAUGCGGCCAAUCUAAGGUGUGAUGCUGGCAUGUAUUGCAAGAGGCCGAUGAAUCCAUUGGCUGACUUUGAUCUUGUCAGUAUACGUCAUCUCACCGCUGCAGGAAAACCAAGAAGUCGGCAGGGACUGGCGAGGACCCCCUAGAGCCACAGUGGGGUUUAUCAGGUCAGUAAUGGUUCCCUUGUUAAUUUUUGGCGUUUCUUCCCUUUCCCCAUCUCUAAAAAAUCUGGAAAUUGUAUCAUAUAAGUCGCCAUCUCAAAUUCUGAUCAUGCCCCUGCAAUGACAACCAGUGCUCCUCCCUGAAAAGUGCAGGCCGUGGGGUGUCCCCAUUAACAGUCCCAGCCAGAGAAGGUCUCAAGCAAGUGUCCUCAUAAUAACUAGUGGAGAAGACCCGUCCCCCGACAUUAAAGGAUUUGUACAGAAAUGAAGAAACAUGUCUGUUUUCCAGAAAUGGUAAAGAAAAGAGGUUCUGCGUCGGCGCGAAAUCACUUAGUGGAAGCAGUCUUAUAGAUGUAUUCUUCUUUUAUUCAUGUUUUCCAGAAAUGGCGCCACACUCCCCCGGGGGUUGUGUCUGGUAUUGCAGCUCAGCUCCAUUGAAGUGAAAGAGGCUGAGCUGUAAUACCAUACAAAACCUGCGGACGGGUGUGGCGCUGUUUCUUGAAGAAGGCUCCCAUGUUUCCUAAAUCCUAAACAGAGCCCUAACCAGGAUUAGAUCAAAGAAAGUGGAUCGCCUGCGCUGUAAUCUCCAACACUAUAUGAGGACCGCAGCGUAGCAGGGACUAUAACAGGAACCAAUACACUUUGAGCCGUGCUGGAGUCCAUGGUUGCUGAGAUUCUCGUCAUUUCUUACAUCUUAUGUCUAUUUAUGUGAACAGAGUUUCAAUAAAUUAUUAUUCUCGUUA